RNAcentral lists this ribosomal RNA (294 nucleotides) under uncultured bacterium. Its description in RNAcentral is "partial 16S ribosomal RNA". It matches the Rfam family "Bacterial small subunit ribosomal RNA", at positions 335 to 627 of the family's 1533-position model. The record is from RNAcentral.
CACCUACGGGGUGCAGCAGUGAGGAAUAUUGGUCAAUGGACGCAAGUCUGAACCAGCCAUGCCGCGUGCAGGAUGACGGCUCUAUGAGUUGUAAACUGCUUUUGUACGAGGGUAAACCCCGAUACGUGUAUCGGGUUGAAAGUAUCGUACGAAUAAGGAUCGGCUAACUCCGUGCCAGCAGCCGCGGUAAUACGGAGGAUCCGAGCGUUAUCCGGAUUUACUGGGAUUAAAGGGUGCGUAGGCGGUUUGAUAAGUUAGUGGUGAAAUGUCGGUGCGCAACCGCGAAAACGCGUC